Molecule: ribosomal RNA, 460 nt
Filed under: uncultured bacterium
Lineage: Bacteria
Description: partial 16S ribosomal RNA
Rfam family: Bacterial small subunit ribosomal RNA
Source: RNAcentral
CCUACGGGUGGCAGCAGUGAGGAAUAUUGGUCAAUGGACGAGAGUCUGAACCAGCCAAGUAGCGUGAAGGAUGACUGCCCUAUGGGUUGUAAACUUCUUUUAUAUGGGAAUAAAAUGUUCCACGUGUGGGAUUUUGUAUGUACCAUAUGAAUAAGGAUCGGCUAACUCCGUGCCAGCAGCCGCGGUAAUACGGAGGAUCCGAGCGUUAUCCGGAUUUAUUGGGUUUAAAGGGAGCGUAGGUGGAUUGUUAAGUCAGUUGUGAAAGUUUGUGGCUCAACCGUAAAAUUGCAGUUGAAACUGGCAGUCUUGAGUACAGUAGAGGUGGGCGGAAUUCGUGGUGUAGCGGUGAAAUGCUUAGAUAUCACGAAGAACUCCGAUUGCGAAGGCAGUUCACUGGACUACAACUGACACUGAGGCUCGAAAGUGUGGGUAUCAAACAGGAUUAGAUACCCGAGUAGUC